CUGCAUUAUCGAGAGUGCUUGCCUCCAGCCAGAGACCAAAGACUGGGAAUGGUUGACUCAGCGUGAAAACAUCACUUGUCAUUCCCUUCCUCUCCUAGUUCAUUUGCCAGCACCAGUCGGAGGACUCCACCCACCUGCAAGGCUGUGACCUGCAUUUACCACGUGCUUGGCAGGGUGGGAUCAGGAUAUGCAGGUAAAAGCCAUCCUUCUCCAGAAAGCUCCAAAAGUGAGAGUCACCAUCUCUCAUGGAAAUUACCAGG
RNAcentral lists this long non-coding RNA (260 nucleotides) under Fukomys damarensis (Damara mole-rat). RNAcentral's name for it is "lncRNA (ENSFDAG00000027600.1)". Lineage: Eukaryota; Metazoa; Chordata; Mammalia; Rodentia; Bathyergidae. The record is from RNAcentral.